CAGCAGCCACGGGAAUACAGAGGGUGCAAGCGUUAAUCGGAAUUACUGGGCGUAAAGCGCGCGUAGGUGGUUUGUUAAGUUGGAUGUGAAAUCCCCGGGCUCAACCUGGGAACUGCAUCCAAAACUGGCAAGCUAGAGUAUGGUAGAGGGUGGUGGAAUUUCCUGUGUAGCGGUGAAAUGCGUAGAUAUAGGAAGGAACACCAGUGGCGAAGGCGACCACCUGGACUGAUACUGACACUGAGGUGCGAAAGCGUGGGGAGCAAACAGGAUUAGAUACCCCGGUAGUCCCUGUCUCUUAUAA
RNAcentral lists this ribosomal RNA (301 nucleotides) under uncultured bacterium. RNAcentral's name for it is "partial 16S ribosomal RNA". It matches the Rfam family "Bacterial small subunit ribosomal RNA", at positions 509 to 809 of the family's 1533-position model. The record is from RNAcentral.